Zeugodacus cucurbitae (melon fly) is the source of this 2063-nucleotide long non-coding RNA. RefSeq lists it as uncharacterized. Lineage: Eukaryota; Metazoa; Arthropoda; Insecta; Diptera; Tephritidae. The record is from RefSeq and is a predicted model, not a curated record. The transcript has 3 exons.
ACAAUCAGUUUCGAACAGUAACUGAUUUUGUAUUGUGAAGGAUAGUAAUAAUCGUGAAUCAGGACGGAACGCGUAGGUGGAUUUCAUCUCAAUACAAGAUGUACUCGUGUUCAUCUGGUGGAUGCUGUCUCAUUUGAGUGAAGUUUGUUCAUGAAAAGUUCCACAAUCCCUACCUUCGUAUUAUUUUAUGAGAACAGUACAAAAAUCUAGACAGCGCAAACUGGGUCACUGGCACAACGAACAAAGCCGCCAUAUGGUCCUGUGGAGGCAGUGUUCUUCAAGAAAAGCCACUGUUGGGAAGGGCCUGUUACACACGAGCCAAAAUCUGUGGAAUCAAAUUUUAUAGUUGUUAUAUACCACCGAGUGUUCCGCAAAGCGAUUUUGAAAAGAUACUGGACGAGCUAGUACGCGAUGUCCUGACAACGACGAAGAACAUAAUAGCAGGCGAUUUUAACGCAUGGGCGGUAGAAUGGGGCAGUAUAAGUACCAACAAACGCUUUGCUUAAGGCCUUUUCAGUGCUUGAGGUGGUGCUUCUAAAUACGGGAAACAGAAAUACCUUUGAAAAGAAUGGUCGUGGUUCUGUGAUAGACAUCACGUUUGCCAGCAGUCCAUUGGUGCGAUCAACAUACUGGAAAGUAUCUGAUCUGUAUACGCAUAGUGACCACAUGGCUAUUGCUAUGGUGAUCGGAAAUACCAAGAGCAAAGAACAUACGCAAUUCAGGAAAUUCAGGCGAAAUAGUCAGAGGAGGCGGAUAUCACCAGAGUACACAAACCUGCACGACUGUUUCAAAAAGAAACGACUCGCCCUCAAGAAGGCAAUUAAAAAAGCAAACUCUCCUGCUUCAGAGAGCUCUGCGAAAACGCUGACAAAAACCCGUGGGGCGAUGCUUACAAAGUGGUAAUGACAAAAAUCAAAGAUAAUAAAGGGCAAGCACCUACUUGUCCCGUGUUAUUGAAAAAUGUAGUGGAGACCCUUUUCCCCACUCAAACGAACGAACGACCUCUACUAACAUACACGGCUGCGGUCUUAAACACCCCAGUGGUCACUGAUGAUGAAGUGACGCAAGCUGCAGAAAGGUUUGGAAAUACCAAAACACCAGGUCUAGAUGGAAUUCCCAAUAAGGCACUGAAAAUUGCUAUUAAACACCAAGUGAGCAUCUUUUCAGAGCUUUUUACCCGCUGUUUGCAAGAAGGCGACUUCCCGAAAAUAUGGAAGAGACAGCGAAUAGUUCUUCUGCAGAAGCCAAAUAAACCGGCUGGUUCGUACCGACCUCUCUGCAUGCUGGAUACACUUGGCAAGGCUUUUGAAAGAAUUAUCUAUGUAAGACUAGAGAAUCACUUGGAACAAGAAUACACAGGACUCUCCAAAAACCAAUAUGGUUUCCGUAAGCACAUGUCAACAAUCGAUGCAAUUAAAAAAGUGACCAACGUAGCGAGUAGCGCUAUAGAAGGAAAGAGAUGGAUGUACGGUACAAAAGAAUACUGUGCGGUAGUAACGUUUGACGUUAAGAACGCGUUUAACUCUGCUUACUGACCACAUAUAAUGAGCGCUCUUGAACACAAAAGAACGCCGUGCUAUUUGCUACGAGUGGUCUCUAAAUACUUUUCGAACAGAUUGUUACUCUAUGACACUGACGAGGGACCCAAAGAGUACAGAGUGACGGGUGGCGUAUCGCAGGGUUCGGUUUUAGGUCCCUUGUUGUGGAACGUACUCUAUGACGGAGUGUUGCGACUUCCCCUACCAACGGGAGUCCAAAUUAUAGAAUACGCGGACGAUAUUGCAGAAACCGUCGUAGGAAAGGAGCUGAGUCAAACACAAAGACUAUGUGAAGACGCUGCUUUAAAGAUAAAAAACUGGCUCACGGCAAAUAAGCUCCAAUUAGCAGGACAGAAAACGGAAGCAGUUCUAAUAACAAGUAGAAACAAUUUACCAUCUGCUUCCUUGCGCUUGUUACCAUAGUCACAGCGAAUCCACAAUGGUUAAUAACACACUCUUAUGCUGCUCCACUUACUGCUGUUGCCACACCAUCGGUGGCUUUGACUGCACUCUCGUAUGUUGAAC